This 2183-nucleotide long non-coding RNA is filed under the name Triticum aestivum (bread wheat). RNAcentral describes it as "long non-coding RNA (TAES_LNC006408)". The record is from RNAcentral. Lineage: Eukaryota; Viridiplantae; Streptophyta; Magnoliopsida; Poales; Poaceae.
AAACAACAAGCGGGUGAGAGAGAGAAAGAGAGAGAGAGGGAGAGAGAGGUGGACAAGGAGGAGGACGACGACAACGAGGAGGAAGGAGCAAGGAUGGGUCAGAUUUUUUCCGGGAAAGCUAUAUAUUAUUCACCAGAAUCGGCUCUUGCCGCUGGCUAAUUACAACUGCAGCUGUAGCUAAUCGUAAGGUGAAUAGAUGAACUUACGAGGUGAGCCAUGUGUAAUUCGAUAUGUGUGUGUGCUACUACUGCCUUUCAUCAGGGAAAAAAAGUAGCACAGUUGUUAGGUUGACAGCAUUGGAGCUGCUAUUGGCUAUUACGCUUAAGAUGAAACCGAUGCCUUUAUUUAUAUAUUUUUUAUUAUAUAGAAAAGAGGUGUAGCUCAAUUUAUCGUUAGGAUCUCGUUAACUUGUUGCCAGUCAGAUAAAAAUCGACAAGAGAAUCAAAAGCUAAGUCAAGUUUAGAAAGCAGUGAUCUUAAAACCACCACAAUAGCUACAUGUAAGUUUACUGAAUUUGCAAUUUGAAUUAGUCAAUUUUGUGGGAGAAGAAUCGGUUCGACCAGGAAGAAAGCUAGAAAAAGAAGAAAGAAGGACGGGCUGUUGGGAGUGCGGCGUUUCGGUGCACAGGCUCAUCUGCACCCGGUCAGUAAAAAACUCCAAAAAAAAAAUCUAAAAAACUUCAAAAAAUUCCAAUUUUUUUGUGUGGUAGACAAUUUGAUGUGUGAGGUUCGCUCCAAAUUUUAGAGCAUUGACAUCUGAGCAGCUCUCAGCAAAAAAGACAAAUCGGGUCAGAACCGUGCGUGAACAGUAAACAUUUUUACAGACCCUGGAUUUGUCUUUUUUGUCGAGAGCUGCUCAGUUGUCCAAAUGCUCUCAAAAUUGAAGCGAACCUCACGCAUAAAAAUAUCUACCACAUAAAAAAAUUGAUUUUUUUUGAAUUUUUCUAGUAUUUAUUUUGAUUUUUUUUCGUCGGGGUGGGUGCAGCUGAGCCCGAGCUCAGAAAUGGAUUACCGGGGCUGUUGGAUCUUAGUCUAAUGACCCAAAAACCGACUUACCCAAGAUAAAUUCUGGAAAGCAUAGAAAAUGAGAUGUCAUGUAAGAAGAAAUGAAUAUACUUCAUCGCCGUUCCAAAUUUCGGACACACAAAGGAAAAACAUGUGGAUUCUAGGCAUGAAGGGGGAAAUAGGAGAAACACUCAUGUUUAUUUUCCUCCAAAAUACUUAUGGAUUUUCCUUUACUUGAUUUCAUAAGAAUAUUGAUGAGCACAAUACAAGAUUGUAGCCUUUUUUUCAAUAUGAAUUUAUUCAUUCAAAGUCUCUACGCGUUUCCUUUUAUUCUAGACGGGGCCUAAAACCAUAUAAAUGUUCUUCAGCCAAAGAAAUAUAUAUGUAUAAUACAUCGAUCGUUCUUGUAUUCUUGGGGUGAUCGAACCAUUUGGAGGACCCCCACCAUAAAAUAGAGACAUAAGUUCCAAAAUAGAAUACCUUAGUGGAUGUAUGUUUUUACUGGCAAACAUAAGCUUAAUUACUAUUAAACUGAUCAUUAACCCAUGAAUUAACACUAUUUUUUCUAACCCACAGGAAGGAACAACCUGGCAAGUCUACAAAAGCUACAAAUAAAUACUACAAAAAAUCAAGUAUAGACGAUCUAGUUUUAAGGGCGACAAUGGACUCAAUUACUAGAAUUGGAUAAAAUUGCAAUCCGACGAUGGAAAGGAACAUGUGAGUUUUUCUUACCUGAUAUUGUAGGCACUAAUUAUGAUACAUGAAGUUCCGUUUGGGUGUAGUUGUUUCAUUUUAGGAAAUUUCUCACAUGAGAAACUUUUUAGGCAGUCACUUUUAAAAGGAAAAACUUAGUUCCCUUAUGUUAUUUAAUACCCUACAUUAAUUAUUCCCAUCACAAAAAUUGUUAAUAACAUCAUCUUUCCCCUCUUUCAGGCAAUUACUGGUGAUUGCACAAAUAUCACCAUGUCUACUUAUUGUUUGUAGGAGAAUGCAGCUGUGCAGCUUGCCAUCCAUAAUUUUGUCAAGAAAACGAAAAAAUGUUGCAUCUCCCGGCCUUGUACUUUCAAGCUUCUGGCUCGUUAAUGAUUUAUGUACUAUAGUUCAUGUUUUGUUCAGACAUGUAACUUUUAUGUACUCUGAAUGUAUUAACUUGUCAUCCUUGAAAAGUCAAUGUCUCCC